GAUGAAGAACGUAGCGAAAUGCGAUAAGUAGUGUGAAUUGCAGAAUUCCGUGAAUCAUCGAAUCUUUGAACGCACAUUGCGCCCCCCGGCAUUCCGGGGAGCAUGCCUGUUCGAGCGUCUCCAGGACGAAUCCUCGCGCGAGUGAACGCGCGGUCGUGGCGGAGGUGGCGUGCCCGAGCAGGGCGGCCACCGCGCUGGAAUCCAUGGGCGGACGCCUGCCGCGUGGCCGAGCGUGAUAUGACGCAUUGGCGCUCGUGCGCGGCGAGGCUGCCAGCCCUGGCCCGUCUGUCGGGCGGGGUAGAUCACCACGUGGGAACUCCUCGAAUCAGGUAGGGAUACCCGCUGAACUUAAGCAUAUCAAUAAGCGGAGGA
Molecule: unclassified non-coding RNA, 372 nt
Filed under: soil metagenome
Description: partial contains 5.8S ribosomal RNA, internal transcribed spacer 2, and large subunit ribosomal RNA
Rfam family: 5.8S ribosomal RNA (bases 1-120)
Source: RNAcentral